Molecule: long non-coding RNA, 1814 nt
Organism: Xiphophorus couchianus (Monterrey platyfish)
Lineage: Eukaryota; Metazoa; Chordata; Actinopteri; Cyprinodontiformes; Poeciliidae
Exons: 3
Source: RefSeq, a predicted model, not a curated record
AUUUUUUUUUUUCCUGUAAAUGUGAGUUGUUCCUCCAUCAUUAGCACAUUUAGCAGCACAUUUACGAGGAUGAUUGGCAGCGCUAAGACCCUCCUUCUGGCUCUGAUUGGUUGUUUUUGACCGGGAGCGACGCAUUUGUUCAGACCGUGAUAGUAGAUCAGGGAGGAGGUGAAGGUUGAUCUUUUUACAGAUUAUUUUUCUCAUGAUGACAGUUUUAGCAAAUAUGUAAGAAGUAUUUUUUUUUAAUAAAAGUUACAUACUGCACCUUUAUGUCAAUGAUUUCUUAUUAUUGAUGAAAAAUUACAAGUUCUACUGACAGAUUUUUUCUUUUAUAACAAGACAAAACACACCCUGCCUGUGGAACGAGUUCUUUUAAGGAAUUAUUGACUUAAAACAAGCUCCUGUAUCUUGCUGAAUAGUUACUUAUAAGUCUUAUUUUGAGUGUACUAAGAAACUAGACCAAAAUAAUUUCAUAACAUUUUGUAUUUUUGCAGUGAAAGCAGCGGUGAGGAACUUCACACGGCUGGGUUUGGUUCCAGCAGGAUGGAGGUAGAGCGGGUCAAACGUAAACACCAGACUAACAUGCAGAAAUAAGCCAGAGGACGAGGUUACUAAAGUAAGGAAGAAAGAUGCAGUUCAGUCAUGCUGGUUGAUGCUUUUGAAACACGUAAAACUUUGUAUUCAAUCCAGCAGUUCAGGAAAAGAUCCUUCAAACAGGCAUCAGAGAUUCAGUUUGAGCUGUUGCCUAACCUGUAAUGUUUGCUCCACGAAGACGCUGCGUUUAUUUAUUAUUUCUGAGACGUGAAGCCAGCCAAUCUGGUGUUUUCCGAUUCCUGUCGCUAAUCUUAGUUUGAGGAUGAAGAGGCAGACAGAUUCACGUGUCAACAAAUGAUUAAAAUACUGUUUCAUAAAAUCAGCGCCCAGCUAAGAGAGGGCAGAAAAACAACAUUCAUGAUGUCUGCAGGUGAAUUUGCUGCCUUGCAGAUAUCUUUGUGAACUGCUUAUAUUUGCUGUAGGGACUCAGAGUGACGAAGAUGAGCUUUUUUCCAGUUUUAUAAACAAUUUAAAAACUUUGAUGUGCAGAUUUCCAUGUCUUUGUUGUUUAAAACUAUUCAUACCUAUUGAGCAUUCACACACUCUAUCUUGUUAGAACUUAAAUGUAAUUUCUUUGGGUUUCGUUUGCUAUUGACCCUUUGCACAUGACGUCACGCUCUUCGAAACCCCGCCCACUCCGCCAAUACGCUCCUGGUUAUUGUAAAGCCCAUCAAAAACACACAUCUGGUAGCCUAAUAUUGCUUUUGUGCGGUUGAUUUCGCAAUAAAAAUGGUCACAGGAGGCUGGGCGGUCGGCUGCACAAACAGACAAGGAUGGAAACCAAACGUGUAAUUUUAUUUUAUAACUUAAUGAGGAAAGUUGCGGUGGCGAUGGACAGCAGCUGUUAAUGACAAUGACUGACAGCUCUCGGUGUAAGCGCGGAUUUGCAGCGAUCGCUUUUUACAAAGGGCAGCCAUUGAUCCAGAGCUCUGCUGAAGAGGAUAUUGACAAACGUGGCAGACUCAGAUGAGCCGCUGUCCGCCACCUCAGUCAGUUUCUGCUCCGGUUCUUCAUCAUAAUCAGCUCAUCUGCUUCUGAUCAGUUGAGUCGUGCCAGCUGACCUCUGCUCAACCUUUUGCUUACGUCCAAAGGUGUUAGGCACCAAGUUGUUGCAUUCCUGUUUAUUUGGGUUUGACGAGCUGAUCGGCGGGAGAUCCGGUUGAUUUUAACACCUCUGCAGUUCAGCUGUGGCACUUUCCCUCUAAUACCAUUAAUAAACA